GCCCUCUUAGCUUAGUGGUAAAGCAAUGGUAUCGUAAACCAUGGACGUCAGUUCGAUUCUGACAGAGGGCU
RNAcentral lists this transfer RNA (71 nucleotides) under bacterium. RNAcentral's name for it is "tRNA-Thr". It matches the Rfam family "tRNA". From Rfam's summary of the family: Transfer RNA (tRNA) molecules are approximately 80 nucleotides in length. The record is from RNAcentral.